AUGGGAGCUAUCUUACCUCUUUUUCACAGGUGGGGGAACCAAGGCACAGAGAUUAACCCAGCUGCCAAAUCACCCAAGGAGGCUGUAUCACAGCAUCAGCCUCCAGAACCAGAACUCAUAAAAGGUUUUAGCAGCAUGGAAUCCUGCUGGGAAAGCUCUGCAGCAGCUCUGGUCACAGCUGGCUGGGCACCUGGCUUGCUGGGCUUGGAGCUGGCUGAGGCUGGUACCUCCAGGAUGGGGCUGCAAGCAUUGGCUCUUGAGGUCUUACAGAAAGGUGGCUUCCCUGCAGCUCUGCUCCUUGCCAAGCUGUACUUUGGCCAGUAAAUGAAAGGUAAAAAGCGUUAUUUUGUUGUUUUGGGUGUUCACUGUGGUCCCAAGCCUAUAGAUGCAGGGAAGGGAAAGCAACCCCAUUCUUCCCUUACAAGUCCAUAGGGCUGUAAGCACAGACCGCUCCUCUCCUUUUGCUGGGGGCUUGCUGGCGAGCUGGGUGGUGCUCUAAGUGAAGGGGGAUGCUGCAGCUCGGGUUGUUUAAUAGCUGAAGCAUGCAGGAUCUGCUGUCCGACCCCGGCACAGCUUCAGCACUGCUUACGGAUGUCAGAUUUGUCACGUCUCUUCUCCUCGGCACCUCGCUGCUGUCACAGCUCGGCGUCUGCCAUAUGUUGCAGCCCAGUGCUCGGAGGUAUGUUUUCCUCAGGGCACGAUGGAAUAAGACUGCUUAAUUCUGGGCCUAGCACUGUGUUCUCUGGCUUGUGCCCCUUUCCCAAUGAAGGGCUUAGGUAGCUCUCUCCGAGCCCUGCAAAUGCAUUUAGGGUGGCCUUAUUCUGAGGGACGUUGUACCCCACAUGUAAUAUGGUAGCAACCAUAAUUAAAAUGUUUAUCGAUGAUGCUUGCAUGGUAAACGAAUGGUAAAACCCAAGGAGCACUAAAUCACGUGGAACCUGUUGUGCCAUUUCCCUUCUGAAUGGUAAUCCCUCUGGGAGCAGAGACUAGACCAAGCCCAGUAAGAGGCAAAGUGGACCAGGGCACAGCAGGAAGGGGGCUGUGGACUUGCGUAUCUGUCUUUUCCCCUGCAGCCAGAAUGUUUUACAAACUACUUCCUUCAAAAUAAAUAUAUAUAUUUGAUGUAAGGAGAACUACUU
RNAcentral lists this long non-coding RNA (1139 nucleotides) under Anas platyrhynchos platyrhynchos (common mallard). RNAcentral describes it as "lncRNA (ENSAPLG00000017692.1)". Lineage: Eukaryota; Metazoa; Chordata; Aves; Anseriformes; Anatidae. The record is from RNAcentral.